AGACAGGUGCUGCAUGGCUGUCGUCAGCUCGUGCCGUGAGGUGUUCGGGUUAAGUCCCGCAACGAGCGCAACCCUAUUGCCAGUUGCUACCAGGUAAUGCUGGGCACUCUGGUGAGACUGCCCCGUUAACGGGGAGGAAGGUGGGGACGACGUCAAGUCAUCAUGGCCCUUACGCCUAGGGCUACACACGUACUACAAUGGCGCAUCAAAGGGCAGCGAUACCGCGAGGUGGAGCCAAUCCCAAAAAGUGCGUCCCAGUCCGGAUUGCAGUCUGCAACUCGACUGCAUGAAGUUGGAAUCGCUAGUAAUUCGAGAUCAGCAUGCUCGGGUGAAUGCGUUCCCGGGCCUU
This 349-nucleotide ribosomal RNA is filed under the name uncultured Desulfovibrio sp. RNAcentral's name for it is "bacterial SSU rRNA". It matches the Rfam family "Bacterial small subunit ribosomal RNA", at positions 1032 to 1382 of the family's 1533-position model. Lineage: Bacteria; Pseudomonadati; Thermodesulfobacteriota; Desulfovibrionia; Desulfovibrionales; Desulfovibrionaceae. The record is from RNAcentral.